RNAcentral lists this ribosomal RNA (80 nucleotides) under Marchesinia robusta. Its description in RNAcentral is "partial 26S ribosomal RNA". It matches the Rfam family "Eukaryotic large subunit ribosomal RNA", at positions 1 to 79 of the family's 3401-position model. Lineage: Eukaryota; Viridiplantae; Streptophyta; Jungermanniopsida; Porellales; Lejeuneaceae. The record is from RNAcentral.
CGGACCUCAGAUCAGACAAGACUACCCGCUGAGUUUAAGCAUAUCACUAAGCGGAGGAAAAGAAACUAACGAGGAUUUCC